GCUCCCCCACAGCCCUCACCUUGCCUCCAGCCCCCCCCGCCGCGGCCUUCCCCUGGCUGGGUGAUGUGACGUUCCACUUCCAACUCUCUCCAGUCUGGCCAAAGCCACGAAGAGGAAUACGUGCGCCACUUCAAGCGUCGCUAACACAGUCACACACAAUGUCUUCUGGCGCUGUGAUCAUCACUACGGACACCCUUCCUCCAGGAACUUGCACUGCCUGCAGGAAAGGUAAAAUAAAGAACAGUGCUUCAUGUUGCACUUGGAUCACCUGUCUGCUGCUGCUUCCCCUUGGCAUCAUCCCUGGCAUCAUUGCCUUCUGCUGCUGCUGCCGCGAACCCAAGUGCACCAACUGUGGCUACACCCCGUAGUGAAGAGCAGGACAAAGAGGUCUCGCCUCGAGCAGGUUGUGGUAGUUAUAGGAUAUCACUUUCUUAAGCCCUGCUAGUUCUUUAAAUGAUCUGAAUACAAUUGACCUAGAUUCUAAAUUGAGUAAAUAUCCAUUUGAUGUCACCUUAGUGUAACUCAACAAUGAAAUAUCUUAAGAAAUGUCUUCAUAUUAGUAAUUAUAACCAAUAUGUACACACACACAAUGUUGGCCUCAUAUUAUUGGAAUGUGGCAUGGGAUUGGGUUGUGCACCAUUCAAAUUGUGAUGAUAUACUUAAUCAAGCUAGAGUUCCUUCUAAAUGCUGAUUCAGUACCUAGAGCUACUAGAAAGUUUGACAUCUCAUAAUUAUGUAUAAUUAGUAAUCACAAACACUGACAAGCAGCUUUCUUAAUUUUCCCAGCUAUCUAGUUUUUAAACCUUAAAAUGAAAUGUAUACUUAAAACAAGACCAUAGUACUCUUAAAACACUGGUUAUAAAUACUUACUCUCUUUUGGCUGUAUACAAUGUAUGUAAUUAUUCUUAAGUGAACCAUCUGUAGUGCAGCUGAUUGCAUUUUCUUUGUCAUAGCUUCUAGGAACUAAUGAGACCUGUCUUUAUGCUGGUUCUGGAACCACCAAUUAAACCAAUGUAUUUUCGCACAAAUCUGCAAAAUAUAAUUUGUUCUGUCCUAUUUUUUUCAUAAACUCAACAAGUGAGAAGGAUCUUUAUAUUUCAGACAUUACUAAUUGUAAAAGAAAUAUUGAAAAAGAAGAGUUUGCCAAAUGUAGUAGGACACACUCUUUUAUAUAUAUAUAUAUAUAUAUAUAUAUAUAUAUAUAUAUAUAUAUAUAUAUAUAUAUAUAUAUAUAUAUAUAUAUAAAAUCCACCUGAAAACUUAACUAAUUACAUAUAUCAUUGUGACUAAUGUAAUGAACAAUAUCAAUGUCACAGUCACAAUGGGUAGGCAGUGGCUGAGUGGUUAGCGUGCGGGCCCCGCAUUCACCGCGCCAUGGACGUCAGUUCGAAUCCCCAUGCUACCACCUGGGAUUUUUCAGUCACCGCUGAGCGGCCUAAGACUACCCACAUGCUGUCCAGAAGACCACCCAUCAACCUGGACUCUAGAAGAAACCGUCCAAGUGAAUCAAGAAUGAGUUCCGGGGGGCAGCAUGAGCCAAGCAUAACUGCCGCCACUAUAAAAAUUGCCUGCGCCAUGACGGGCUUGGGCCAACCACCAGGCCCCUGAAGAAAGCCUACUGGCACAACAGGCGGAGAUGUAAAAAACACACACACACACACACACAAAAAAAAAAGCACUGAAUUUAUUCUUGUUUGUUAGGGUUGAUGCACAUGAAUUAAUGGUUCAGUUAUAUCCCUAUAUUAAUAGAUAUCCUGAAUUCCAACCAGGAUUUGUACAAAAAGUAUGUUCCAUUCCUAAUCCAGCACAGGCUUGGCACACCUCUGUUAUGUUCAUAAAGGGCCUGACAAUGUUGUGUGUGUGUCUGAUGCAAUCGUUUGGGUUAAGGGAAUUUUGCUUUUAAUCAUAGUGAAACAGAUUUAGAUAGUUGGAUCAUUUUGUAAGACAUUGAAAUUGUUUGAUUCUGCAGCCAAGGGUCUUACUACAUAUACUAAUUUGUGAAAAUAUUUGUAAUAAAGUCCCACAAAAUACUUCAGUACUUAUUUCAACUCUAAUAAGAAUUUUUCCAUCAUUCUAGUGUAGAUUUUAUAAGCAAAGGUAACUGAACCAAACAUCUUUAAGUUCAUAUAUUUUUUAUAAAGUAUUCAUCUGAGACAUAGGAGUAAGAUUAUAUUAUAUUUCACUUUAAGGUUGUACUUUGUGAAAUAAAAGUCUAUGCUGC
Molecule: long non-coding RNA, 2221 nt
Organism: Eriocheir sinensis (Chinese mitten crab)
Lineage: Eukaryota; Metazoa; Arthropoda; Malacostraca; Decapoda; Varunidae
Exons: 3
Source: RefSeq, a predicted model, not a curated record